Long non-coding RNA from Raphanus sativus (radish), 947 nucleotides. RefSeq lists it as uncharacterized. The record is from RefSeq and is a predicted model, not a curated record. NCBI's taxonomy places the organism in Eukaryota, Viridiplantae, Streptophyta, Magnoliopsida, Brassicales, Brassicaceae. The transcript is spliced from 3 exons.
CAGAUGACGUCAUAUACUGUGUGCAAAGUAAUGUUUAAGGGUGACCCCAGUGAUUUGGCCUUCUACUUCUUCCUCUUCUGGUGGUGAAGUUGAGCAUAUGAACAAUUCUGGUGGAUCUGAGGUGGGAUUAGAGAAUCCACGUCACUUUACUGGUUUGCUCGAUGCGGAGAAAGAAACUCAGAUCGGUGAUGCUAUUCGCAGGGCCAUAUUCGACAAUGUUUCAACUCAUGAUUUGAACGCUUUGCUCAAUUUUCAAAAUGAUGAUGAUGAGCUUGUUAAUCGUUUGUUUAUGCAAGAGGAUCGCAAUGAUUACAGACCUAAAAUGUCAUUGACGGUUUCAUUAGCGAUGAUGAUGAUGAUGAUGAUGAUAGUGAUUCUGAUUUGAUAUCUGCUACAACAACAACAGUGAGCUUAGUUUUACUAUGUUAAUCCUCUGUUUUCAGGUUGUGCCUUCAAAAGACAAACGUUUUGACUGUGAUAGGGUUCCAUCCAAACUUCGAGCAGUACUUAUGAUAGUUUUGGUAGCUCAAAUCGUCGUAUAGACCAAAUCACAGACCUAAAAAACUCUCCCAGCUCAACAACUAAGCUAAUGUCACCAACUCAAGUGGUGAGCAAACCUCUAGAAACCAGUCUUGAUACAUCCAAGGAGACCAAGAAUCAUUAUGAAGAUGUACAAGGGACUGAGAUGGCAAAGUGUGAAAUGGAUGAGAAGGUCAUCAACAACAAAAGAGCUGGUUUCUUUUACAGGAAAAUUCAAACCUGCAUCAAGAAAAUUCUGCUAUGCUCUUCUAUCCCCCUAAGAACAUGAUAAUUAGUUAAUAAAUGAGAUCAAUAAGUACUUUUAGUAUUUUCCAAAUCUGCAAAAGUUCUAUGUUAUGUCUUAUCUUGUUUUGUGACUUUUUGGUAUUGUGUGUCCUAAUGUAUAUAAAUAAAGGCCAGUUUGUGAU